Molecule: ribosomal RNA, 438 nt
Filed under: uncultured bacterium
Lineage: Bacteria
Description: partial 16S ribosomal RNA
Rfam family: Bacterial small subunit ribosomal RNA
Source: RNAcentral
CUACGGGACGCAGCAGUGAGGAAUAUUGCACAAUGGAGGAAACUCUGAUGCAGCAACGCCGCGUGGAGGAUGACGCAUUUCGGUGUGUAAACUCCUUUUAUGAGUCAAGAAAAUGACGGUAGCUCAUGAAUAAGCACCGGCUAACUCCGUGCCAGCAGCCGCGGUAAUACGGAGGGUGCAAGCGUUACUCGGAAUCACUGGGCGUAAAGGACGCGUAGGCGGGAUAUCAAGUCAGGUGUGAAAUCCUACAGCUUAGCUGUAGAACUGCACUUGAAACUGGUAACCUAGAGUAUGGGAGGGGAGAUGGAAUUAGUGGUGUAGGGGUAAAAUCCGUAGAUAUCACUAGGAAUACCUAAAGCGAAGGCGAUCUCCUGGAACAUAACUGACGCUAAGGCGUGAAAGCGUGGGGAGCAAACAGGAUUAGAUACCCCAGUAGUC